This 496-nucleotide unclassified non-coding RNA is filed under the name Hevea brasiliensis (rubber tree). The record is from RNAcentral. Lineage: Eukaryota; Viridiplantae; Streptophyta; Magnoliopsida; Malpighiales; Euphorbiaceae.
GCCAUAUCUGUUUCUCACUGCUUUCAUAUCUUCAUAUACCUGACGCAUUGUUGGUCUUUGCUCUGAAAUGGACUGCACACAACUAAGUGCAAUCUGAAGAACCUGAUGGAUCUCAUCAUCAAAUCCUUGCCCAAUCAAAGAUUUAUCAGGUAGAUCAUGGAAAUUGGAAGAAUUACUAUCCAGAAUAUGACUAACCCAAUCAUUUGAAGAUCUAUCAUAGCUGUUUGAGGAAUAAUUACUAGUCAUUUUAGAUGAAUCCUUCCCAGUAAUCAGCUCAAGAAGCACAAUUCCAAAGCUAUAGACAUCCUCCUUAAUAAAUUCCAUUUCCCAAACUUCAGUAUUUGCACAAGAACUGUUUUUGGGAAUCAAGAGUAUGGCCUCUCCAAAAUUUGAUAACUUAGGCUCAAAAUCGUAAUCAAGUAAGACACAUUUUGAGCUUAUAUUAAGAUGGAUUAUAUGGAUAUUACACCCCUGAUGAAGCCAUGCCAAGCCUCUU